Molecule: unclassified non-coding RNA, 240 nt
Filed under: soil metagenome
Description: partial contains 5.8S ribosomal RNA, internal transcribed spacer 2, and large subunit ribosomal RNA
Source: RNAcentral
AACUGAUACUACCUGCGGGAACCUGCGGAAGGAUCAUUACAGUGCUCGUCGGGACGCCGCGCCUCCGGGUGUCGGUGUCUCGCACCUGCCCCACCCGUGUCUACCUUUCCUUCUGUUGCUUCGGCGGGCCCGUUCCGGGGCGUACCCACGUGUCGGGUAUGUCUGGGGGCGGACCGGGGGUUUUAUUACCCUUGGCCAGCGCCCGUCAGAGGACCCUUUGAACCCUUUGUGAAUACACGG